Molecule: long non-coding RNA, 244 nt
Filed under: Homo sapiens (human)
Lineage: Eukaryota; Metazoa; Chordata; Mammalia; Primates; Hominidae
Description: HSALNT0143492
Source: RNAcentral
UUUAUGGGGCUUUCUUGGACUGCACUCUGGCCAAACGCAGUGACUCCAGUAAGGCGUGGCCUUUGCAACCACCUUAAUUAGCUCUGGGAGAAGAUUCCACUCAGAGUUGGGCAGGAGGUAGCUUGAGAGGCAACUGGCCAGGGAAUGUAAAAGAGGGCUCAGAAGCAUUCUUGUCUUUAUACUAUACAUUUGCUCUAACCUACUUCACAACUUUGGCAAGAAGUAUAUCUUGUUGAAAAACAUU